Pogoniulus pusillus (Red-fronted tinkerbird) is the source of this 2871-nucleotide long non-coding RNA. RefSeq lists it as uncharacterized. The transcript is spliced from 2 exons. The record is from RefSeq and is a predicted model, not a curated record. NCBI's taxonomy places the organism in Eukaryota, Metazoa, Chordata, Aves, Piciformes, Lybiidae.
GCGGGCGGCGUGUUCCGAGUGGCGGAGUGUCGCGGGCGGCGUCGUGUCGCGGGUGGCGUGUCCCGGGUGGCGGAGUGUCGCGGGUGGCGUGUCCCGGGUGGCGGAGUGUCGCGGGCGGCGUGUCAUGGGUGGCGGCACCGGGGCUGGCACCCCGCGAGGUGUGGGGCAGAACGCGUCACUGCCCGCCCCUGAGCGCCAGCUGCGUGAGUGACACGCGUCACUGCCGAGGCACCGACCGCCCCGGUGGGGCCGCGAUAAGCCGGAUGCCGGAGGAAGCCCGCGGGAGGCCUCCUGCCCCGUGUCGCAGCCCUGUGGGUCACAGCGGUGCGAGGAAGGCUGCGCCGCUCACGGGCUUGAGACACUGCCGUCACCUGCCCUGCCUCAGGCCCGGGGCCUGCGUGGGCGCUUGGAGUUAUGGACUGGCUGGCAGCCUGAAACUCGUCCCGACUCGUGUCCCGCCGUGACCCGGGCACAGGCUCACUAAAAGAGCUUGGGUCAGAGUGCUGAGCACCGAGCUGCCUGCGAGCUUUGGCUUGCCUGGCGCUGGGUGGAAGCAGCUCACAAGCCUCUCGGGUGGAUCUCUCAAGGGGAUGCUUCUGCAUCAGCCCACCCUGAGCUCAGUUGAUGUUUUGAAGGUGCGUGGCAGUGAAAGGCAGAACUGUGCUCCUUCCAAACGGCAGCAGGGCAAAAGGAGCCAUGUGCAGACACCCUGCCGCUGCUCCCGCCGCUGCUCCGGGCUGGGCUUAACCGGUACACGGCACCACGAGCAGCUUCGAGGAGCCGAGACAGCCAAGCGACUCCUCGUAGCCAAAGUCUAGGACAGAUGGGAGAGAGGUGGCUGUGAGGAUAUCGCAACAGGGAGAUGGUGACAAAUGUUCACACACAAGUGUGACGAGGAAGCUGGAACUGUUUAAUUCAAGUUCGUGUUGCAAAACAUCAGCGGGCCGGGCCAGCGCUGCCCGCAGUGAGCCGCAGGCUGCAUGCUGGCUGUAGCGGUUGUAGCUCCGGCACAUCACCUCCCACUGUCUCAGACCUUGCUUUCCUCCCACAGUACCUUCCAGAAAAACCUGCUGCCACGGCAGAGAGGGACAGAUAGUCACAGUGAUAGCUUCGUUGCCAUCUCAAAGUGCCAAGAGACGAUAGAAAGCGUCCAGCCACUCACUUUGCACAGCAGCUUUAAGACUCAGAGCGUAUGAACAUGAUGUUCACAGCAUCAGCUUCCCCUCACCAGCCUCCUUCGUGAGGACACACAGGCUGCUCUCAGCAAAAGAUGACUCCACAGAUCACUGCAGCUGUGCCCCCUUCAGCUAAUGUGUGAGCCUUCAGCGUUAGCAUGCUUCUGUUGUCCUUGGUGCACCAGCUGGGGCUGUGAGAAGGCUUUUGCCGCAACUCUGCCACUUCACUGUUUCUUUACACAAAUGUAUGCAGAAAAAAAAGGGCAGAAUCCAGAAUUCUGUGUUUCCUUGUCAGUAGUCCAGGACCAGUAGCUCAGUAGGUGUGUUACUAAUAAUCUCAUAGGUGCAUUACUAAUACAGUGAUGAAACUCAGCUGAAGCCUGAGUCUGAGGCUGUUUUCGUCACAGGAUGUUUCUGAGAUAAGUAGGUUUGUGAAGUACUGUGGGAUGCUCCUCUGGAUUCUGCCAGGGGAAGACAAAGAACAGCAAUAAAAAGCUUUUUCCUUCCACUAUCCAUGUAACAGAGAUUUCCAAGCUCUCAUUUUACUUCCUGAUGUAACCUUCCCUGAUUCUGCAUAACAUCAUCUCAAACCACACUUAACAGGAGAUAAGGAUGAAGCCAGCCUAGUGGCUGUGAGCCUUGGGAAAGAGCCAGGCUGUGGCAGGAGGUUAUCCUGCCCUGAAGCAUAUCAGCUCUGAACACCCUUGGGUGCCUCCCUGCUACAUCUCAUAAAUAUCCCUGUGUUAGCUGAGCUGCCAAGAUCAAACCCCUGGAAAUUAGGUAAUGAGAAAGUGUGUCCGAUGCAAGCACCUGAAAGCAGCUCUCUGCAGUCUUCUGUGCCCCUGAGCUGGUGAAGGUUGUCACUCAGGCUUGCCACUGGAGCUCUUCUGGCUGCUCUUGAGGGUCUUCCUUUUCUGAGAACAGAAACACAGAUUGUGUGCUGAUGUUCCCCAGAGCACCUAGAGUCACUGUGCCCUGGCCUGUGUAAACGUCCAGGCUUUGAGGUGUCUGCACAGCUGUCCAGUGCCAUCCUGACUGCUGGGCUUCUGGAGGUGUUUGGCGUUGAGCAGUGCCUAUAAGCCUGUGCUGGCUGGAUCCAGAGCACAGGAUGCUGCAGGUUCCCUCAGGGACAGCUUCCUUGUAGCUGCUUACUUCCAGCUCUGCACUGAGCUCUGUUCCACCACCCAGCUUUUCAGCCAUGCUUUGAGAAGAGCCAGCAAAGCCCUCCACGAGGAUGAUGGUGGUCAGAGAAAGAGUGGAACACUGCUGUGGCUGAACUCCUGCUGGGUCUGAGCAGUCUCUGUGUGCUCAGGGUGAAGAGCUUCUACAAAAUCCUGUCAUCCCAGCAGGGUGCAAAGGCCUCCAGUUCGUGGCGCUCCCAGCGACUGCAGCUGGAUGAGUCACUGCUGUUAUGACAGAGGGACUGCAAUCCUUGUGCCUUUCCAGUCUGGUUUGGACAGAAUUUUAUUCUGUAGGACACCUUUGUUCGAUCUGCUCUGUGUCCUCCUGUGUCACCAAAGGCCCUCUCACUGACUCCAGCUCACCCCCGGAGCUCGUGCUCUGCUCUGCAGGCAGCGCUGGUUUGGGCUAUUGGUAAAGCAUGUGGUGAGAAGUCUUUGCUUUGAUCCCAUCUCCUGGGAGGACAGCACUGAGUGGUUCAGCUCAUCAUCUAUGGAGGCAGGAGAGAAUCUGAAAU